RNAcentral lists this long non-coding RNA (6853 nucleotides) under Homo sapiens (human). Its description in RNAcentral is "HSALNT0260425". The record is from RNAcentral. Lineage: Eukaryota; Metazoa; Chordata; Mammalia; Primates; Hominidae.
GCGCGAUCUCAGCUCACGGCAACCUCCGCCUUCCGUGUUCAAGGGAUUCCCCUGCCUCAGCCUCCUAGUAGCUGGAAUUAAAGGCACCUACCACCACGCCCGUCUAAUUUUUGUAUUUUUAGUAGAGAUGGGGUUUCACCAUGUUGCCCAGGCUGGUCUUGAACUCCUGACCUCAAGUGAUCUCCCUGCCUCAGUCUCUCAAAGUGCUGGAAUUACAGGCAUGAGCCACCACGCCCAGCCAACUCUCACCACUUCUAUUUGAUACAUGCUGGAGGUUCUAGCCAGGGCAACUAGGCAAAUAAAUGAAAUAAGAGACAUCCAUAUGGAAAUGAAGAAGUACAAUGAAGAAGUAAAGCUAUAUUUGCAGAUAUGAUUUUAUAUACAUAAAGUCCUAAGGAAAUCACAAAAAACUAAUAAGACUAGUAAAUGAGUUCAGCAAAGUUACAGGAAGAUCAAUAUGCAAAAAAAUUGUGUUCUUACACACUAGCAAUGAAUAAUCAAAAAAUGAAAGUAGGAAAACAAUUCCAUUUACAACAGAAUUUGAAGAAAAUACUUAAGGAAUAAAGUUAACAAAUGAAGAGGAAAGUUUGUACACUGAAAAUUAUAAAACAUCAUUGAAAGAAAUUAAAGACGACCUAAAUAAAAGGAAAGACAUCUGUGGUUCAUGGAUAAGAAAAGUUAAUAUUGUUAAGAUGCCAAUACCUCCCAAAUUGACCUAUGGAUUCAAUGCAGUCCUUAACAAUAUCCUAGCUGGCUCCCCCCUCCCAACCCCACUGCCUCUAGAAAUUGACCAGCUGAUCCUAAAUUCAUAUGGAGACACAAGGGACCCAAAAUAACCAAAACAACUUUAGAAAGGAAGAACAAAGUUGGAGGACUCGCAUUUCCCAAUUUCAAAAGUUACUGGAAAACUACAGUGUGGUACUGGCACAAGGGUAGACAUAGAGAUGAGUGGAAUAGAUUUAAAAGUCCAGAAGUAAGUCUUGACACUGUCGAUUCAUUUUCAAUAAGGGUGCUACGGCCAUUUAGUAGGGGAAAGAAUAGUCUUCUCAACAAAUUAUGGUAAGACAACUGGAUAUCUGUCUGCAAAGAAAGAAUGAAGUUGGAAUUCUACUUUAUACCAUACACAAAAAUUAACUCACAUCACUGACCUAAAUCCUAUAGGAGCUAACACUAUAAAACUCUUCAAAGACAACACAGGGGCAAAUCUUCAUGAGCUUGGAAUAGGCAAUGAUAUUUUGGAUACACCAAAAGCAUAAGCAAAACAAUAAAUAGGAGUAUAUCAAAAUUCAAACUUUUUACUGCAAAUGAUACCAUCAAGAAAGUGACAAGAUACCCACUGAAUGGGAGACAAUAUUUGCCCAUCAUACAUAUGACAAUGGACUUGUAUCUAGAAUACAAAAACUCUUAGAACUCAACAAUAAAAAAAAAAUGGAUAAUCCAAUUUCUGGAAGUCAGUCAGAUUUCUGGGAUGAUCACUCCCAUCCUCACAACAACAACAACAACAAAAAAAACUAAAGAAAUUAAUUUUUUCUGGAUCUGUCAGAUAAUAGAGGUCACAAGGCAAACCACCAGCCUUAAAUCUGGAGAGACAAGCAAACGGAGAUCAGCUUACUUGGAGCAGAAGGACCAAGGAAGAUACAAGACAACAGCUUCUGCGAACCAGUAAGAGUGGCCUCAUUAGACAUUGGAUUUGCCAGUGACUUGAUCAUGGACUUCCCAGUCUCCAGGACUGUGAGUUAUAAAGGUCUUUCACCAUAUUUGCUGUCCUUGGGCAAGAUCAGAGUCAUCUUUGGAAGGAAAAGCAUCUCUGGAUUUUGUUAAAUACCAUCUUAGGAAAGUACUCUCUGCUCUUCAAAGUCAGCGACGACAUGAGUCACUGUUACAGAACCCACAGAAUGUGUCCCUUAAAAUACUGAGAAUGAACACUAUUUUACUGCCUGCAUAAUUAGCACUAGACAGGUGAAUUUAUUACUACUUCAUUAAAUAGAUGAGUUUAUUAACUCAGUGAAGACUUGUGGGAACCUUACUAAAAGAGAUGCAAUUCCCCAGCCUCAAGAUGCUCACAGUCUAGUGAUGAGGAAGCUGGCAAUUCCACUAUACAUGGCUAAAUGCCAGAGUAGUGCACAGCAUCCUUUAGCGGCAUGAGGAAUGGGCUCAUAAGCCCACAGUGGAAUGCAGGGGUUCUACACAAACGUAGCUUAAUCUGAGCCCUGGAGGGUGACUGAGCUCUAUUAGCCAGAGAAUCCAAAUCACUAUAAAACUCCCAGAGAACAAAUGUCAUGAUGUGAAGACAAAUAACAGGCAGAAAGAGAUGGGCAGGAAGGCAGAAUUCAAACCAUGAUGACGUUCAAGUCACAAAAUUAUCUGCAAGUCAGCAGGAGAACACUGAAGGACUUCUGGAAAGGAGAGUAAAAAGAUUCCUUUCAUGUUAGAAACAGAUUACCCUCUCAAACGGGAGGAGGCUUGAGGGGGAGGAGGCUAGGGCCAGAGAGACUAUUAGGAGAGCCACACUAAGAAACUCUUUCUUCUUUAUUCAAAUGUCACCACCUCAGAGUCUCUCUCUAGCCAUCCUGUAGAUAAUUUCGGUCUCCUAACUGCACCCCAACACUUCCUAUCCCUCAUCUCUGCUUACUUCUUUUCUCUAAGCCCUUAUUCCUCUCUAACAUCCUUCUAGGUAUUUACUUACUUAUAUUCAUUACACUUGUCUAAUGUGGAGUUUCGUUACCUGCUCCAUCCCCAACACCUACUAAGUUGCUACAAGCAUUUGGAAGGAACCCAAAGAUUUGCAGAAUGACUACUUUAAUGACUCAGUGAAUAGUUGAUAGAUACACCAUGUGGAUCAGGGCCUCAUUAUUUAUCACCUGAACCAUUCAUUCAACAUAUGAUUGUUGAAGGGUCUACUCUGUGCCAGCCAAGGGUCCUAGAUGUGAAAUAUACAGCAGUGAACAAAGACCUUGAUCUCACAAAGAUGAUAUUAUAAUGGGCUACGAGGGCAUAGCAAACCCCCAAUAUAUAGCGAGAGACACUUUUAAGAACAAUAGGGCAGGGUAAAGAAAUAAAGAGAUGAAAGGAGGGGCUGUCACAGAAUAAGUUUUUGUCAUGAAAGAUUUCUCUUAUAUUUGAACAGAGACCUCAAAUAUAGGAAGAGAAAGCCAUGUAGAGAUCUGAUAUCUGAAGGCAUGUAAUUCAGCCCUGAAGAACAUAGAAAAUUUUUUUUUGUUAAAAAGCCAUAGGUCUGGUAUUUAGCAAAGACAUGGAAUCAACCUAAAUGCCCGUCGAUAGCAGUCUGGAUAAAGAAAAUGUGGUGCAUAUACACCAUGGAAUACUAGGCGGCCAUAAAAAAGAUGUCCUGGCUGGGCGCGGUGGCUCAUGCCUGUAAUCCCAGCACUUUGGGAGAGUGAGGCAGGCGGAUCACCUGAGGUUAGGAGUUCGAGAACAGCCUAACCAACAUGGAGAAACCCUGUCUCUACUUAAAAAAAAAAAUACAAAAUUAGCCAGGCAUGAUGGCGAAUGCCUGUAAUCCCAGCUACUCAGGAGGAUGAGGCAGGAGAAUUGCUUGAACCUGGGAGGUCAAGCUUGUGGUGAGCCAAGAUCGCACCAUUGCACUCCAGUCUGGGCAACAAGAGCGAAACUCUGUCUCAAAAAAAAAAAAAAAAAAAAGAUGUCCUUUGCAGGAAGAUGGAUGGAGCUGGAGGACAUUAUUCUUAGUAAACUAAUACAGGAACAGAAAACCAAAUACCGCAUGUUCUAACUCAUCAGUGGGAGCUAAAUGAUGAGAAUACAUGGACACACAGAGGGGAACAACAGACACUGGGGUCUCCAUCAGAGGGUGGAGGGUGGGAGGAGGGAGAGGACCAGAAAAAAUAACUCAUGGGUACUAGGCUUAAUACCUGGGUGACAAAAUAAUCUGUACAACAAACCCCCAUGACACAAGUUUACCUGUAUAACAAACCUGCACGUGUACUUCUGCAGUUACAGAAGAUCAAGGAUGGGACUAAGAACCUAUUUCUACCAAUAUCCCAGGUGAUGCUAAUGCUGCUGGUCCCUAAAUUACAAUUUGAUAGCAUCAGUUAAAACAGCUCUCUAGAUAUUUUCAGACAGACUAACACUUGAGGUUUUCACCUCCAAUUUUUCUACUAACCCCAAUAUACUAUCCUAUUGCCUAAGGGCAAAAAGAACUAAAGAAGGUAAAAACAAACUGCAAGCUUCUCUUUCUCUCUGAUACUAACAAACAGGAAUGAAGGUUUGUUAGGAUCAGGAGUGCCAAGAUCAACUCUAUGCUCCUAACAUUAACCACGAAAAAACCCAGGCCACUCAUAAAAUACUCCCUAUAAUGACAGCAACUGACAUUUAGAGCAACUGACUGGCUGCCUACCAAGGCACUGUUUACAUAAAUUCUUCACAUGUAGUAUCUCAUUUGAUUUUCAUAACGAUGAUAGAGAUUGAGAAAAUAAUUAUGCCCAUUUUACAGACAAGGAAAUAGAGGCACACAGAAGUAACUUGUUCAUGUUUAACAAGUGGUCAACAGAAAAGUCAGGAUUUUCACCCAGUGCCUUAUCUACUAGAACACUGGCUGCGCCAGGCAAUGAACCCAGGCAAUCUGACACCUGUGCCCAUGUUCUUAACCGCUCGACAGUGGUUCUCAAACCCUGGUAUGCAUCCAUAUCAAAAGGCCUGAGGUUCCAUGUGCUGCCUUGAUACCUUUGAGACUCACAGGGCCCUGAAGGCCUAGCCAUGAGCUCCCGGCUCUCUCCAGAUAUGCCCUCUCAGUGGGAAAGGAUCCCUGCCCGCCUAGUUCCUCGUGUGUUAACCAUGUUUUAUGUACUGGCUAUUUGAUAUCUGCUAUUCCUAAUCUCUCCCUAAGUCUGCUGAAUCACAGGGCCAGACUAACAACCAAAAUUAUGUGCAUCUUCCCUGCAAGCAGCUUUCACCGGUGGGAGAAAGACAUAUUACAAAAGCAUAGGCCCCAGUUCCUUUCUCUGUCUGCUUCCUGACCCUUGCCUGUAGUGGGCUUCAUGUGGUCUGGUGUGGUGUGAUGUACCAGUGGAACUCUAAGUAUUAAAAUACUAUUCAUUGGCAUUAAUCUCUCCAUGUUGUCACUCAGCCGCUUUUAUAAAAUUAAGACUUAGGCACAAUUCAUCCUAUUUAGCCAGACCACCUGUACCCCACCAGGUCCUCCACAUAACAGGUUUUGCCUCCCUGCCAGCCUGUAGAAUUAUCCAAAUGGUCAAUUAAAUCUUCUUGCAGGAACCAAGGGUCACCCUGCUACCCUCCUGUCACUACAAAAUCAACCUACCAUGGCCCCUGUUGGUUCAAUCUAUUCUCAAGUGCAAGUCCCCUGGGCUGUGAAUAUGUGACUAAUAAACUGCUACCAACCUCUUCUGCAUAGGCUGACUGUAGGGUUUGUGUGUUCAGCCACCUCCUGCCAGUUCAAGUGAUGUCUUAGUCCAUUUUUGCUGCUAUAACAAAAUACCACAGUUAUAAAGAACAGAAAUUUCUCACAGUUCUGAAGGAUGGGAAGUCUAAGAUCAAGGCUCCAGCAGGUUGUGGGUCUGGUAAGGGCCUUUUUGCUGUGUUCUCACGUGGCAGAAGGGUAGGGGAAAAGGGGGAUGGAGGAAUGCUGUGUCUUCAUAGUCUUCAUAUGGCAGAAGAACAAGGGAGGUGAACUCUCUCUCUGAAGCCUCUUUUAUAAGAGCAUUAACUCCUUCAUGCCCUCAUGACUUAAUCACUUCCCAAAGGCCUCACCUCUUAAUAACACCACAAUGGGGAUUAAGUUUCAAUGUUUGGGGGACACUCAGACAGCAGCAGGUGGGGGAAUCCCUCCUUCACCAAUGGGGUGAAUAGGUGACCAGAACCCCCGAAUUACUAAUAAAGAACACAGAAGUUCAAGCUCAUAGAAGUAGUGUAGGGCCUGGGUCUUAUGAUUCUGAUGUGACCACAGUUCAAGAACCACUGCAUUAUUCUACACUGCCUCUUAAAGAGUUGACGGAACUGUCCAAGGGCACCCAGGAAACCAGGGGCAUGGCUCUGCCUGGCACUCAGGCCUACUGAUUAUCAGCUCCCUGCUCCUCUCCAGUAUAAGAUGCCCCUAGAGCUCUCUAUAAGAGGAAAGGGCUGCAGAAUGACUGGUAAUGCCUCUGGAGGCAAAUUCUCAGAAUGAAAGGGGAGGCUUCCCUUAGAUCAGUGCUGUCCAACAGAAAUAUAAUGCAGGCAAGCUAUUCGUGUAAUUUAAAUUUUUCUCAUAGCUACACUGAAAAAGGUAAGAUGAAGCAAGUGAACUUAAUUUCAACAAUAUAUUUUCUUUAACCCAACAUAUCCAAAGUAUUAUCCCCUCAACUUGUAAUCAGUAUAAGAAUUAUUGAGGGAUUUUACUUUCUUUUUUUCAUACUAGAUCUUUGAAAUCUGUUGUGCCUUACCAUUAUAACAUAUCUCAAUUCAGACUAGUUACGUUUCAGGUGCUCAAUAAUCACAUGCGGCUAAUGGCUACACUAUUGGAUAGUGCAGGUUUAGACCUUUUUAUUAAGGCAAUAUAGACUAUAUAAUCAUCUCACAGGGACUUGCUAAGUUCAAAAGACAGCAAAUUAGUUGUAGGUUUCAACAAUCACUAUCAUAGAAACUAUGCACAUUUGUUUAAAUAUGUAACAGAAUUAAAGUAUCCAUAGAAAAAGUGGAAAGUGGGGAAGAAAAGAAUACUUAAAAAUAUACCUUUGAGGCUGGGCACGGUGGCUCACGCAUGUAAUCCCAGCACUUUGGGAGGCCCAGGCGGGUGGAUCACGAGGUCAGGAAUUCAAGACCAGCCUAGCCAAGAUGGUGAAACCCCGUCUCUAUUAAAAAUACAAAAAAAUUAGCUGGG